UACGGGGGGGGCAAGCGUUGUUCGGAAUUACUGGGCGUAAAGCGUGCGUAGGCGGUUUGCCGUGUCCUGUGUGAAAGCCCCGGGCUCAACCUGGGAAUUGCAUGGGAGACUGGCAGGCUUGAGUGUGGCAGAGGAGGGUGGAAUUCCGCGUGUAGCAGUGAAAUGCGUAGAGAUGCGGAGGAACACCGAUGGCGAAGGCAGCCCUCUGGGCCAACACUGACGCUCAGGCACGAAAGCGUGGGGAGCAAACAGG
Molecule: ribosomal RNA, 253 nt
Filed under: uncultured bacterium
Lineage: Bacteria
Description: partial 16S ribosomal RNA
Rfam family: Bacterial small subunit ribosomal RNA
Source: RNAcentral